Callithrix jacchus (white-tufted-ear marmoset) is the source of this 4262-nucleotide long non-coding RNA. The record is from Ensembl. NCBI's taxonomy places the organism in Eukaryota, Metazoa, Chordata, Mammalia, Primates, Cebidae.
AUGUGGGGGAGGAAAAGCAAGCGAGUGAGAAAAGGCUGUGGAGCCAACUUCACAACCAGGCUCUGGAGCAAGCCACAGAGCUUGGUGUUCCUUAAAGUUCUUGCACGCCUGGGGAAAAGGGGACACCCAGGGAAAACUAUUGGGCUUCCUCUUCCUAAAAAUCCGAAUCCUAAACCCUACAAGUGGAAAGGUGAAGUUCCCCAAACCCCACACGCUCCGGGAGCGCACCUCUCACGGAAGGCGCCCACCUCCCCGCGCGCCCUUGGGCAGCCAGUGUCUCAAAGCUCCAGACCUCCAGCCCAGGGCAAAGAGGGCGCCGUAGGAGAGUCUAUGCAAGGUUCCAGAGUGUGGAUCCGUGAAACCUCAAGAAAUUCAAUCAGUGUGGAAGCAGACCUUAUGGAGAGUGGGUCUCUACAUCUUUAUCAUGGAAGAGACUUUAUCCUAACUUGGGGGUAGGAGAGGAGAUGAGGGACAAAGGCCACUGCCUGUGACAGGGCAUGGCCUGGUCAGUGCCUGUUCCCUGACUGAGGCCCAGCCCCCUUCGCCUGUGCCCAUCACCAGUGCCACCAGCAUGUCUGACAAACUGCCAUACAAAGUCGCUGAUAUUGGCCUGGCUGCCUGAGGGUGCAAGGCCCUGGAUAUUGUGGAGAACGAGAUGCUGGGCCUGAUGCGCUUGCAUGAGCAGUACUUGGCCUCCAAGCCACUGAAGGGCACCCACAUUGCCGGCUGCUUGCACAUGACCAUGGAGACAGCUGUCUUCAUUGAGAUCCUUGUCGCCCUGGGUGCUGAGGUGCCGUGGUCCAGCUGCAACAUCUUCUCCACCUAGGACCAUGCAGCGGCUGCCAUUGCCAAUGCUGGCAUUCCAGUGUAUGCCUGGAAGGGUGAAACCGACGAGGUGUACCUGUGGUGCACUGAGCAGAUGCUGUACUUCAAGGAUGGGCCCCUCAACAUAAUUCUGGAUGACGGGGUCGACCUCACCAACCUCAUGCAUACCAAGUACCCACAGCUCCUGCCUGGCAUCUGCGGCAGCUCUGAGGAGACCACGACCAGGGUCCACAACCUCUACAAGAUGAAGGCCAGUGGGAUCCUGAAGGUGCCUGCCAUCAAUGUCAACAAUUCCGUCACCAAGAGCAAGUUUGACAACCUCCUCUGCCGGGAGUCCCUCAUAGAUGGCAUCAAGCUGGCCACAGCUGUGAUGAUUGCCAGCAAGGUGGUGGUGGUAGCAGGCUAUGGUGAUGUGGGCAAGGGCUGUGCCCAGGCCCUGCGGGGUUUCGGGGCCCAUGUCAUCAUCACCGAGACUGACCCCAUCAAUGCACUGUAGGCUGCCGUGGAGGGCUAUGAGGUGACCACCGUGGAUGAGGCCUGUCAGGAGGGCAAUAUCUUUGUCACCACCACAGGCUGUGUUGACAUCAUCCUUGGUCAGCACUUUGAACAGAUGAAGGAUGAUGCCAUCAUGUGUAACAUUGGACACUUUGACUUGGAGAUUAUGUCAAGUGGCUCAACGAGAACGCUGUAGAGAAGGUGAACAUCAAGCUGCAGGUGGACCAGUACCAGCUGAAGAAUGGGCGCCACAUCAUCCUGCUGGCUAAGGGUCGGCUGGUCAACUUGGGUUGUGCCAUGGGCCACCUCAGCUUUGUGAUGAGUAACUACUUCACCAACCAGGUGAUGGCACAGAUCAAGCUGAGGACCCACCCAGACAAGUACCCUGUUGGGGUUCACUUCCUGCCCAAAAAGCUGCAUGAGGCAGUGGCUGAUGCCCACCUGGGCAAGCUGAACAUGGAGUCGACCAUGGUGACUGAGAAGUAGGCCCAGUACCUGGGCAUAUCCUGUAACGGCCCCUUCAAGCCGGAUCACUACCGCUACUGAGAGCCAGGUCUGUGCUUUGCAUUCCAGCUGCUGUCCUUGCCCAGGCCUGCCUCUCCUCCCUAAGAACAAAUGGCACCAACUUUGUGACUGGUUUGUCAAUGUCCCCCAUAACUCUCUGGGGCCAGUCACUCAGUGUUUGGUCUCUGCUGCAGCCCUCAUAAGGUUCCAGGGGUGGCAGUGAGAACUGAGAGGUCCCUUCUCAAGCCUUGGUCAUGAUGGAGGUACCAGCCACAGGGAGCCAUGAGCUCAGUGGUCUUGGAACUGCUUACUAAGUAAGUCCUUCCUUAGCCUCGAAGUCAGUAGUGGAGUCACAAAGCCCAUGUAUUUUGCCAUCUAGGCCUUCACCUGGUCUGCGGACUUAGACCUGUGUGCUUGGUUUACAGGUUCAAUGGUUCCUCAGCACAUGGCAGAUGAGAAGGAGCUAUAUUAAAGGGCAAAAAGGAACUGCUGUUUGAAUUUUCCUCAGAACCUGACUUAGUUCUGGGCCUUCUUUUAAACCUCAUAACAAUGAGGUUAGUACUUUUAGUCCCUGUUUUACAGGGGUUAGAAUAGACUGUUAAGGGGCAACUGAGAAAGAACAGAAAAGUGACAGUCAGAGGUUGAGAGGAGCCAGGAAAAACAUAAAAGCAGGCAUAGACCUGCCACCACUUUUUAACUAGAUGGUUUCUAUCACAACUCUCGAUCAAAAAGAUAAUAAUUUGGCCUAUAAUGUUUAUAAUGUUAAAAGAAAGCAAGAAUGUGGGUAAAUAAAAAUCUUGGUGCCUAAAAGAAAAAAAAAAGAAAUGCUACUUGUUUAUAUUUAUUAUUUGAUAUAGGUAAGUCUCACCCUUGAGCCUGAAUGCUCUUUGAGUCAGAAAAAUAUAUUUGACAAGUUUCAUGCAAGUUUCACUCUUUCUUCCCACUAAGCCUUCACAUAUUCCACUAGCUCUGAUCAGAAUACCCUCCCAAUUCCUUUUCAGAAACACUCUCAUUCUUUGCUCACAACCUGACUUACCUCACUAGUGGGCUAUCUUCAGAUCUGGCUGUCAGAUAAGUAUCUCUUUAGGGGUUACAUUAUCUCUCUCUAGAUUACUUAUUGUUAAAUUAUGGUUUUUUUGUUUUCCUUAUUUGGAUUUUAUAAUGUAAAAAAAUAUCAUAGGUAUAGUCUUUGGUCCCACAAAUUUUAAAAGCCAUGUAUAGCAUGCUGGCCACCUUAGGAUAGAAUAUUCCAGGGUAUGGACUGGGUGCAGUUGCUUAUGACUGUAAUCCCAGAACUUUGGGAGGCUGAGGUGGGUGGAUCAUAAUGUAAAGAGAUUGAGACCAUCCUAGAGAUGGUGAAACACUGUCUCUACUAAAAAUACAAAAAUUAAUUGGGCUUGGUGGUGCAUGCCUAUAGUCCCAGCUACUCAGGAGGCUGAGGCAGGAGAAUCACUUGAACUGGGAGGUGGAGGUUGCAGUGAGCCGAGAGAGCGCAACUGCACUCCAGCCUGGUGACAGAGCAAGACUCCAUAAAAGAAAACCAAAAAGUUAAGAAACAACACCAAAAGCAAUGGCAAAAAAAGCCAAAAUAGACAAAUAGGAUCUAAUUAAACUUAAGAGCUUCUGCACAGCAAAAGAAACUAUCAUUAGAGUGAACUGGCAACCAACAGAAUGGGAAAAAAUUUUUACAAUCUACCCAUCUGACAAAAGGCUAAUAACCAGAAUCUACAAAGAACUUAAAUAAAUUUACAAGAAAAAAAAACCCCAUCAAAAAGUGGGCAAAGGAUAUGAACAGAUGCUUCUCAAAAGAAGUCAUUUAUGCAGCUAACAAACAUAUAUAAAAAAAAGCUCACCAUUACUGGUCAUUAGAAAAUGCAAAUCAAAACCACAUUGAGAUACCAUCUCAUGCCACUUAGAAUGGUGAUCAUCAAAAAUCAGGAGACAACAGAUGCUGGAGGAUGUGGAGAAACAGGAAUGCUUUUACACUGUUGGUGGGAGUAUAAAUUAGUUCAACCAUUGUGGAAGACAGCGUGACAAUUCCUCAAGGAUCUAGAACUAGAAAUUCCGUUUGACUCAGCAAUCAAUUUCAUUAAUGAGUAUAUACCCAAAGGAUUAUAAAACAUUCAAUUAUAAGACACAUGCACACAUAUGUUUAUUGUGGCACUGUUUACAAUAGUAAAGACUUGGAACUAAUCCAAAUGCCCAUCAAUGAUAGACUGGAUAAAGAAAAUGUGGCACAUAUACACCAUGGAAUACUAUGCAGCCAUAAAAAAGGAUCAGUGCAUGUCCUUUGCAGGCCAUGGAUGAAGCUGGAAACCAUCAUUCUCAGCAAAUUGACAUAAGAACAGAAAACCAAACACCACAUGUUUUCAGUCAUAAGUGGGUGUUGAACAAUGAGAACACAUGGACACAGGGAGGGGAACAUCACACACCAGGGC